Molecule: ribosomal RNA, 508 nt
Filed under: uncultured bacterium
Lineage: Bacteria
Description: partial 16S ribosomal RNA
Rfam family: Bacterial small subunit ribosomal RNA
Source: RNAcentral
GACGAACGCUGGCGGCGUGCCUAAUACAUGCAAGUCGAACGCUUCUUUCCUCCCGAGUGCUUGCCCUCAAUUGGAGAGAGGAGUGGCGGACGGGUGAGUAACACGUGGGUAACCUACCCAUCAGAGGGGGAUAACACUUGGAAACAGGUGCUAAUACCGCAUAACAGUUUAUGCCGCAUGGCAUAAGAGUGAAAGGCGCUUUCGGGUGUCGUUGAUGGAUGGACCCGCGGUGCAUUAGCUAGUUGGUGAGGUAACGGCUCACCAGGGCCACGAUGCAUAGCCGACCUGAGAGGGUGAUCGGCCACACUGGGACUGAGACACGGCCCAGACUCCUACGGGAGGCAGCAGUAGGGAAUCUUCGGCAAAGGACGAAAGUCUGACCGAGCAACGCCGCGUGAGUGAAGAAGGUUUUCGGAUCGUAAAACUCUGUUGUUAGAGAAGAACAAGGACGUUAGUAACUGAACGUCCCCUGACGGUAUCUAACCAGAAAGCCACGGCUAACUACGUG